This 396-nucleotide ribosomal RNA is filed under the name uncultured bacterium. Its description in RNAcentral is "partial 16S ribosomal RNA". It matches the Rfam family "Bacterial small subunit ribosomal RNA", at positions 523 to 918 of the family's 1533-position model. The record is from RNAcentral.
AUACGUAGGUGACAAGCGUUAUCCGGAUUUACUGGGCGUAAAGGGCGUGUAGGCGGUCUUGCAAGUCAGAAGUGAAAUUCCUGAGCUCAACUCGGGCGCUGCUUCUGAAACUGCAGGACUUGAGUGCUGGAGGGGAUAGCGGAAUUCCUAGUGGAGCGGUAAAAUGCGCAGAUAUCAGGAGGAACACCGGUGGCGAAGGCGGCUUACUGGGCUUUUACUGACGCUGAGGCUCGAAAGCGUGGGGAGCAAACAGGAUUAGAUACCCUGGUAGUCCACGCUGUAAACGAUGAUUACUAGGUGUGGGGGGACUGACCCCUUCCGUGCCGCAGUUAACACAAUAAGUAAUCCACCUGGGGAGUACGGCCGCAAGGUUGAAACUCAAAUGAAUUGGCGGGG